Molecule: ribosomal RNA, 412 nt
Filed under: uncultured prokaryote
Description: bacterial SSU rRNA
Rfam family: Bacterial small subunit ribosomal RNA
Source: RNAcentral
GUGCCAGCCGCCGCGGUAAUACGUAUGGGGCUAGCGUUGUUCGGAUUCACUGGGCGUAAAGGGCGUGUAGGCGGUGAGGUAAGUCGGAUGUGAAAUCUCCGGGCUUAACCCGGAAAUUGCAUUCGAUACUGCCUCGCUAGAGUACCGGAGAGGGAGACGGAAUUCCUGGUGUAGGGGUGAAAUCUGUAGAUAUCAGGAGGAACACCGGUGGCGAAGGCGGUCUCCUGGCCGGAUACUGACGCUGAGGCGCGAAAGCUAGGGGAGCAAACAGGAUUAGAUACCCUGGUAGUCCUAGCUGUAAACGUUGUGCACUAGGUGUGAGUGGCUUGUCCACUCGUGCCGAAGCUAACGCAUUAAGUGCCCCGCCUGGGGAGUACGGUCGCAAGGCUGAAACUUAAAUGAAUUGGCGGGG